GUCUAGAUUUUGUUCCCACCUCUGUCACAGAUUUGCUGUUAUUUUGUAUUCUGACAUCACUGUUAACUUUGAAAAUCUGAAUUUCUAGGUGGUGCUCUGAAGAAGACUGGAACCUGAUUUUCUUGACUUCCACUGGGUCACUGAUGGGCUCUUGGCACCUCAAGCAAUCAGAUUUCAGGUGUCCCAAAGCAUGUACCUCAAACCCCAGGGUCAAAUUUGUCUCAGUUCAGUAACGCCUGGAAAGCACUGCUGUGCAGUGGGGUUUGAUGUGAAAUAAGCACAGGUCCCUCCACAGCACAGUCGAGAUCCACAGCACAGAAAAUCACCACUGUAAUUGCUCUCUGUAUCAGCUGCCCUGGGAAAAUAUAAAAUAAAAUCAUAAAUAAAUAAAAAUCAGUGACUGAAUUGGC
Molecule: non-coding RNA, 410 nt
Organism: Lonchura striata (white-rumped munia)
Lineage: Eukaryota; Metazoa; Chordata; Aves; Passeriformes; Estrildidae
Source: RefSeq, a predicted model, not a curated record